This is a non-coding RNA of Camelina sativa (false flax), 2001 nucleotides long. The record is from RefSeq and is a predicted model, not a curated record. NCBI's taxonomy places the organism in Eukaryota, Viridiplantae, Streptophyta, Magnoliopsida, Brassicales, Brassicaceae.
UUUUUUUUUGUAUGUAAAACAUCAUUGAUAAUGGUCUUGGAGCUUCUGGUCGAGUGGUAGGGAGCGGGAUUGGGACGCUACAACAUUUCAGGUUCGAUUCCCUUGCUGCGCGAAACUAAGUCACAUUUUCCUGGAAACCUUUACACGGAUAUGGACCUAUCUAACGGUCCAUUUGAAUAUCCGGAGAGAAGGUCUAUCCGUGGGCUUCACCUCCCCUAGAGAUUAGUCUCGGACCCUCCAUAAGCCUAGGGAUUUACUCUGAGUUAACAAAAAAAAAACAUCAUUAAUAAUGUAACUUGUUGAGUUAACCAUUUAACCAUUUAUGUUUGUGAGUCCUCGAAAUAAAGAGUUCGCCUUAGCCGCUGUGCUCCCUGGCACAACCCCCAAAAAACUUCUUCCCGGCAGCGUCAAAUCAGAUCGGCGUCACUGGACCACUGUUCUGUCACCACCAUCCUCUCCUCUGUUACAAAGCUCUCACUAGUAGAAUUGUUCAGUAUAGUUAUGAAAUUUAGCUACAAAGUAAAUAAUAACAAAUGUUAGCUACAAAAUAUGACACAAUGUUACUAAAAAUAGUCCAAUAUUUUUUGUGACAAAUUCGUUAGUAUUCGUAGCAAUUCAAUUACAAAAAAAAACGAAAUAUGGUCGUAGCAAAUUUACUACUCAUUUAGUUACAAAAAAAGUUUGUAGCCAAUGAGAUACCGUAACUGUUUGUAUGGAUGAAUAUAUAUAAAAAGGACGACAUUAUUUGCCACAAAUGAGUUGUAACAAUUGUGACAACUUGUUUCAGAAUUAUCAUACCUUACAUUAGAAUUGUAUAUGAGGUUUCGAGAUCUGGACAUCACUAAGCGUAGUCCAGUUAUUGUUUUAAUUGAGUGUAGGGUUAAUUUUUGUUUCUCCCUUCUCUCUCGAUGUUUAUCUCCAAUGGCAACGAGAUAGACAAGUCACUGAGCGUUUGUUACGGCUUCGACGCAAGGUAUUGGAAGGUAAAGUAGCAAUUUUGAUGGCUUCGACUCAAGAGAUUGGUUUCAGAAUCAUUGAGCGCUUCCGUCGUCGUCUCUUCCCGCAAACAGGAAAAUGUUGACGAGGCUGUAGAGAAACUCAAAUCCAAAGGGAUUGAUGCAUUAGAAUCGUUUGUCAUGUUUCCAAUGCUCAACAUCGCCGUAAUCUUUCUGGAUUUCAACCACAAGGAUCCAUGGCUAUGUACGACGUCACUAAGACUGCUCUUCUCGGCCUAGUGAAGUCUAUUAGAUGGUAUGCUUAAGUAUGAGCUCCUCUUCACAAGGCUGGCCAUGUUGUUUAUUCAGUCUUUGUCUUAGAUUGUUGCCUUCAUGGAUUCACUUUUGGUGAUAUUCUGGAAGAGAGUAACUGAGUUAGAGAACAAGUGGAGAGAAUUUGGAGCCAGACUCAUUAAGAAAGAUUGAACCCUACGACGAAGUCGAAAUGGUCAGGCUAAGGCUAACACAAUUACUAGAUUGAUAAGGUACACUCUUCACUUCUAACUCACAUGUCUUCUAUGAUUAAUGCAACCUUAUUUAUGUGUUCUUCCUUUUUAGAAUGUUAUGUAUAUUGUCAAGUUUGUCUAUGUUCUCAAUGAACACUUGCAGGACAUGAUCGAAAAUGAGUUUUAUGCUGGUGCUUACAAGGGAGUUGUAUACUUACUAGCUCAAGCAAAGCAACAAUGUGGUGGACAAAUUACUUCUAAGAUGAAUGGAAUGUUUAUGAAGGUCGUGGUGGUGUCUUUGGUGGUGGUGUGGGUGGUGCAUUUGGUGGUGGUGGUGGUGAAGGUCGUGGUAAUGGCCGUGGAGGACACAGCGGAGGGAGACUUCCAGGACAUGGUGGAGGUGGACACGGGGGAAGGGGAAUGAACAAUCUGCAAAUGAGUAUUGAUGGAAAAAGUUGUAGUCAAUUCGCGUAGCAAUUUGACACUAAUACUAACACCUUAUUUGUAGCUAUUUGUUGCAACUUUGUUACCAAUAUAUAGUCACAUUAUGUAAAAACCAA